GCAUAUUGAUCAGAUCUUCAGUGUGUGAGAGUGUUUAUAGUGCUGUGAGUUUAACACUUCAUCACUGACACACACAACAAUCUUCAUCAACAUGACCUUCAUCAUCAUCUUCAUCUGGACUCUCACAGCGUUUGCUCAAGAGUGUAGAGGACAGAUCACCGUCACUCAGAGUCCCUCAAUAACAGCAGAACAACCAGGAGGAACUGUGAAUAUCAAAUGUAAAACCAGCAGUAAUGUGUACAAUGGAAAUUGUUUAGCCUGGUACUUACAGAAACCUGGAGAAGCUCCUAAACUUCUGAUUUAUUACGCAAACCGCCUCCAGUCAGGAACUCCAUCUAGAUUCAGUGGCAGUGGAUCUAACAGUGAUUUCACUCUGAGCAUCAGUGGAGUCCAGACUGAAGAUGCUGGACAUUAUUACUGUCAGAGUUAUCACUACAUCAACAGUAAAAAUGUGACUUUCGGUGGAGGAACUAAACUGACGAUCAGAACCUCCGGGCCCUCCGUGUCUCCCUCCGUGUCUCUGCUGGUCUCUGGAGACUCCUCCGCUCUGCUCUGCCUGCUCAGCUCUUACUCUCCACAGGGGGCGACGGUGAGCUGGACGCUGGACGGGUCAGAGGUCACCGAGGGGGUUCAGACCAGCGCAGAGAGCGAGCGGGGCGGUCUCUACAGUCGCAGCAGCGUCCUGAGCCUCAGCAAAGCACGCUGGGAAGGCAGAGAGCGCUUGGUCUGCAGAGGAACACAUGCCGGAGCUGCUCACGAGGCCUCGUUCCUCAAGAGCUCCGAGUGCUGAUGUUUCUCCAGUGAAGACCAGCGGAUCUGAGCGGCACGUGAUUUACAGCUCAAUACUGAAGCAGUCUGUCAAUGUGCUGCCAUUGCUGUUCAUUCAAUAAAGCUUCAUCUGAACGC
This is a non-coding RNA of Rhinichthys klamathensis goyatoka, 906 nucleotides long. The record is from the annotation of a RefSeq genome assembly. NCBI's taxonomy places the organism in Eukaryota, Metazoa, Chordata, Actinopteri, Cypriniformes, Leuciscidae.